Protopterus annectens (West African lungfish) is the source of this 154-nucleotide ribosomal RNA. RefSeq annotates it as 5.8S ribosomal RNA. Lineage: Eukaryota; Metazoa; Chordata; Ceratodontiformes; Protopteridae. The record is from RefSeq and is a predicted model, not a curated record. The transcript has a single exon.
GACUCUGAGUGGUAGAUCACUCAGUUCGUGCAUCGAUGAAGAAUGCAGUUAGCUGUGAGAACUAAUGUGAAUUGCAGGACACAUUGAUCAUUGACACUUCGAAUGCACUUUGCAGCCCUUGGUUAGUCCCGGGGAUAUGCCUGUCUGAGGGCCA